UCAAAUUUUGCCCUUCAGAAACAGAUUGUGAUUUUCAAUGACCAAUAUUUAUUUCAGUAAUCAUUCAAUACAGUAUUACAAUAAUCCAAUGUCAAUACAUUUUAUGAACUCUGCAGUAUAAAAUGCUAUAUGUUGGAAACAAGUUUAUCUAACCAAAGAUUUAUGAAGCAGUUCUCUUUCUUUAAGGGUACAGUAUUGCUGGGUGCAACGACGUGCCUGUAGUCCCAGCUACUUGGGAGGCUGAGGCCAGAGGAUCACCUGAGCCCAGGAGUUCUGGACUGCAGAGAGCUGUGCCAAUCAGGUGUCAAGACUGGUCCAAAUCUUGGGUCAGACUCACAUUUGGAGAGUAUCGUCUCCAUGAGAGUCAGAAGAAAAUGGGCAAAGUAAUUGAGGAGGCGAGCUACAAGAUUUCCGAAGCUGACACUCCUGAAAUAUAAAGAUGAGGACUGAGGGACUCACUAACAAGGUGGCUGGCUCUCCCCAGAGUGAAUGAUUCCAGAGAAGGCCAGAAAGAGUCACUGCAUCUAAAACGGAACCUGCAGUAUUUUGUAACCUCAUCUCAAAAGUGACAAACCAUCACUUCUGUCAUAGUCUUGUCUUUAGAAGUCAGUCAAUUCAACCCACGUAGAAAAAGGGGAUUGCACAGCAAUCCCAUUACUGGUUAUAUACCCAGACAAAUAUAAAUCAUUCUACCAUAAAGACACACGC
Molecule: long non-coding RNA, 708 nt
Filed under: Homo sapiens (human)
Lineage: Eukaryota; Metazoa; Chordata; Mammalia; Primates; Hominidae
Description: HSALNT0357224
Source: RNAcentral